RNAcentral lists this ribosomal RNA (253 nucleotides) under uncultured bacterium. RNAcentral's name for it is "partial 16S ribosomal RNA". It matches the Rfam family "Bacterial small subunit ribosomal RNA", at positions 524 to 776 of the family's 1533-position model. The record is from RNAcentral.
UACAGAGGGUGCGAGCGUUGUUCGGAAUUAUUGGGCGUAAAGCGCUUGUAGGCGGCACGUCAAGUCGCGUGUGAAAUCCCCAGGCUUAACCUGGGAAGUGCGCGCGAAACUGACGAGCUUGAGUGCCGGAGAGGGUCGCGGAAUUCCCGGUGUAGAGGUGAAAUUCGUAGAUAUCGGGAGGAACACCAGUGGCGAAGGCGGCUCACUGGCCCGAUACUGACGCUGAGACACGAAAGCGUGGGGAGCAAACAGG